This is a long non-coding RNA of Pristis pectinata (smalltooth sawfish), 2223 nucleotides long. RefSeq lists it as uncharacterized. The record is from RefSeq and is a predicted model, not a curated record. The transcript has 4 exons. NCBI's taxonomy places the organism in Eukaryota, Metazoa, Chordata, Chondrichthyes, Rhinopristiformes, Pristidae.
AAAUCUGCUUUUUGUUUCCUCAGCUUCGUCUCUUUCAGAUGGCAAGAAUCCUGCAAAAGUGAUAACUUUAACCACAAACUACACCAGUGCUGGACAGACUAUGAAAGAUAAAAAUGUGUGCAGCCAAUGCUUCAAACCAUUUAACACGCCCCAAAAAUGAUCUUGGAGGACUUGGACAUUAACUGCCACGCGUCAUGCCUUAAGUGUCAAAUUUGCCACCAAUCGCUUGAAAACCUGAAUGCCGGAGACAACAUCUGGGUUCACCAUCACACCGUGCAUUGCGAGAAGUGCUACGAUAAAGUAAAAGUGCAACUUGGGUACUAAAUGGACCCUCGGAAAGAUUUUCAAUUGAACAACGACCUCUCUAUGGUUUGGGAUCUAUUGGGGAUUGGACAACAUAUUUACAAUACAUUUUAAACUUUAGAAGCUAUCUCAUACAAAUUAUAUUGCCUUUCUCUAAUUGUAAUUUCUGGAGUCUAUUUUAAAAUACUGUAUCUCUAAAAUCUCCUCAUGUUAUGUACUAUGGGUCAAGUUGAUGAAAAGAACCUGUGUUAUGUGAACUUGAAAGCAUUACUUCUGGUGAAGGUGAAUAGCUGCCAUGAAAUAAUUUCUUUAAUUGCUUAAUGUAUAUUUAAAUAGGAAUAAUAAGAUCUAAUAGACUUUAUUUCUCAAAACAAUACUUAUCAGUUUAUGCUAUUGCAAAUCAAUAACUACUGUGUUCAUUUUGCUUUACCCUUUAUCCAAAGAAUAAUAUGCCCCCCCCAAUAUAAAAGGAUAAAUAACUGAUUAAAAUACAUCAAUAGAACAAAGAACCUCCAUUUAAUACAAACCUGCAAUGCAGAUUUUUUCAGGUUUCUAAUAUAUAAUUACAGGACUAAAGAAAAACCCAGACAUACAUUAAAGUUUUAACGGUGUAUUAGUAAGAGUUCAGAUCUUGAAGCAGCAUCUUAAACCACUGUGCUGCAGAAAUCUUCUACUUGCAUGGCUAAAUUUGGCAAUAUUCUUAAAAAUUGAAAAUGUUCAAUAAAAGUAGUAUUCAUUGACUAAUCGUGCUACACAGUAUCAUUGGUGCACUGCUAAAUGUGUCAUGCACUGUCCUACUUAAUAUGACAAUACUCUUUCUUUAAAGGCUGGCAUUGUCAUUGGAACUAAUUUCUUUGCUAAGCUUUACAGAGGUUUAUAUUUCUAUAUGGUACAGAAAAUGUGUAUAUAUCAUUUUCUUUUUAUUUCAAUUAUUACAGUUAUCUUUGCAACAAAUGAGUGGCCAGAUUUUUCUAUUAAUGCACAGUAAUAGUUUUUAUGGCUGAUUAUAACAACCGAGGCAUUUACAAGAUCAUUCAAACAUGUGCACACGCUAAUGUGUCCAAGUUGUGGAUUUUUCUGAUGGUAGAAAGAAAUAAUCAGGCAUUUUUCCAAGUCUAACCCACCAGCUGGAUAGCAGUGACAAAAAUGAUCUUAGUUGAAUUCAGCUUCAGUUUAUACUUGUCACAUUGGUGUUGUAACAUUAGAAUAAAGGGAAAAAAACAUUGUUCUACUGCUAGUAAAAACUACUUCUGAAUAUUACCUACAGAAAAAAUAUGGCCCACUUAGUCUUAAUAUGUUGAAAGAUAGUUUCAUUUUUUUAAUGUAUAAAAAUGUGGUUUAAGUUGGCUGGGAUUCAAAAAGAAAUUGGAAUUGGGCAGAUUUAAUGGCAUUCUUGGCUACCAUAUGCAUGUUUCACUAUCUUUAAAUGUGCCUCCUUAUUUACUUGCCAGAGUGCUGAUCCAUUGUGCUCAAUUGAUAUUUAGUUAAUUUAUUGACAAUGUAGGUUUCAAAAUCAGAUCUCAUGAAAAACCACGAGGACACAUGCUUUUAUGAAACUUUGAAAGCAGAACAUAUUUUAAGUUCUCAGUAUCUCUAAUGAUUGACCAUAAAUUUGGAUUAUAGAGACAACUGUACUGCAAAAAAAACAUUGUUUACUCUAAUGGAUCUAAGCAAUCAACUUAUCUGAGGCAAUCAACAAUAUGAUCUCCCACAUGGAAUGAUAUUUUGUAACUGAGAAAUAUUGAAACUCCUGUGUUAUGCAUUAGUGCAUGAAUAUACAGUAAGAAGUAUUGCUGACACAGAGGUAUUUUGUUGACAAUAUUGUGCUAAUAAAAAGAACUAAGCAAAAUAAUAAGGUUUUACUCUUAAUUAGGUGUGUGUUGAAUUUGUAAUUUGGAACCCAUUGCUUUUAUUUCACAU